GAACUUAGCAGAGAUGCUUUGGUGCCUUCGGGAACUCUGAGACAGGUGCUGCAUGGCUGUCGUCAGCUCGUGUUGUGAAAUGUUGGGUUAAGUCCCGCAACGAGCGCAACCCUUUAUCCUUUGUUGCCAGCGGUCCGGCCGGGAACUCAAAGGAGACUGCCAGUGAUAAACUGGAGGAAGGUGGGGAUGACGUCAAGUCAUCAUGGCCCUUACGAGUAGGGCUACACACGUGCUACAAUGGCGCAUACAAAGAGAAGCGACCUCGCGAGAGCAAGCGGACCUCAUAAAGUGCGUCGUAGUCCGGAUUGGAGUCUGCAACUCGACUCCAUGAAGUCGGAAUCGCUAGUAAUCGUGGAUCAGAAUGCCACGGUGAAUACGUUCCCGGGCCUUGUACACACCGCCCGUCACACCAUGGGAGUGGGUUGCAAAAGAAGUAGGUAGCUUAACCUUCGGGAGGGCGCUUACCACUUUGUGAUUCAUGACUGGGGUGAAGUCGUAACAAGGUAGGCGUAGUGCU
RNAcentral lists this ribosomal RNA (517 nucleotides) under uncultured bacterium. RNAcentral's name for it is "bacterial SSU rRNA". It matches the Rfam family "Bacterial small subunit ribosomal RNA", at positions 993 to 1509 of the family's 1533-position model. The record is from RNAcentral.